GACGAACGCUGGCGGCGUGCUUAACACAUGCCAGUCGAACGGAAAGGCCCUGCUUUUGUGGGGUGCUCGAGUGGCGAACGGGUGAGUAACACGUGAGUAACCUGCCCUUGACUUUGGGAUAACUUCAGGAAACUGGGGCUAAUACCGGAUAGGAGCUCCUCCGCCUGGGUGGGGGUGGGAAGUUUCCGGCGGUUGGGGAGGGCCUCGGGGCUUUUCAGUUUGUUGGUGGGUUAGUGGCUUACCAGGGCUUUGCCGGUUAGCCGGCCGGGGGGGGUGACGGGCCAAAUGGGGAAUGAGAGGGCGCCCAAGCUCCUACGGGAGGCAGGAGUGGGGAAAAUGGCACAAGGGGCGGAAGCCGGAUGGAGCAACGCCGGGGGGGGGAAGAGGGCCUUGGGGUUGUAAACCGCUUUCGCCUGGGACGAAGCGUGGGGGACGGUAAUGGGGAAAGAAGCACCGGCUAACUACGU
Molecule: ribosomal RNA, 467 nt
Filed under: uncultured bacterium
Lineage: Bacteria
Description: partial 16S ribosomal RNA
Rfam family: Bacterial small subunit ribosomal RNA
Source: RNAcentral